Molecule: transfer RNA, 67 nt
Filed under: Alucita montana
Lineage: Eukaryota; Metazoa; Arthropoda; Insecta; Lepidoptera; Alucitidae
Description: tRNA-Leu
Source: RNAcentral
ACUAUUUUGGCAGAUUAAUGUAAUGGUUUUAGAAAUCAUAAAUAUAUAAUUAUUUAUAUAUGUAGUA